CUAACGACUUUGAGGACUGAUUUCUCCCAUUAAUUUUGCUACCAGGAGCAAAAUUAUUGUGGUACGUUGUACGUCAGGAUAUUGCCAACAUUUCAAGUGCCAAAUUUUCAAGAAUUCGCUACAACUAGUACUUGAAAUUGUCGUUACAGUGAAGGGCUAUCAACAUUUGAAACAAUAACAAACAGUCAACAGCAAAUGGAAUGUAAAUGUCUUCUGAGGAUGCAGAAGAUCUUUUACAUGAUUCAGUUAUUGAAUUAUUUGACUUAUCUGAUUAUUCUUUAACUUUGCCAAACGAUGCUAAAGAAAGAUAUGUUGCUAAGCUUAAUGAAGUACAGUGUGACUGUCCUUACGUCAUAGAAAAUGAGUAUUGGACUUCCAGUACACAAGAGCUGAAAACAAUAUUACUAUCAGUUGAAUUUGGAGAUGUUUGGAACUAUCUAGUCUACAGAAAACAGUUUUAUACAGCUAACGAUAUGAAUAAUUAUAAGAGCUGCAAGUCUUAUGAGAUAAUUUUUGGAGAUGGGCUGUUUUUUGAGUUCAAGGCAUUAAAACUUACAAAUAAUACUCAUUUUGGCGGCGCGUUUUGCUGAUAAAAUAUCCGAAGCCACACUAAAAGCCCGUUCAACAGAUCCUGAUGAUGCUGCAACGCUAACAGCAUCUCUUCCGAUUUCGCUUAGUAUUGGAAAACGACACUGAUUAGAUUUCCAAUACUCGAGGGGCUUAGUGACGCAAAGGUCACUGUCGGGAUCCACUGGAUUCACUAGAACUUCCAUAGCUACGAUGGGUUCUUUUAAAUAAAUCCCAAACUCCUCCAAUACUUUGGCCGGGCCACUCAGGGAACGAGAUUUUGGUGGCUCAAUGACUGUUGAAUAUAAACUCUGGCUUAACCUUCUCUUGCGAGUUGAUGAAGGUUUUACUGCGUCUUGCUGAACUUCAUCCCUAGCUUCAUCCUGUUGAUUCGGCGUAGAAACGCUGGCUGCUUGUCCUAUGAUAACAGUUACUCAUGAAAGGCAUUCCUCUAAUUUAACUUUUACAAUUAAAACUCACUAGAACGCAACAGAUCGCAUCUUAUUUUAAUUUCAGAAGAAACUUCAUUUAACACUGCCUUUUCAUUCAAUCCAGCUUGUUUUAUCCAAGCACACUUAAAUCGUGGAUCAAAAAUUGAACCUGUGGAAUUAAUAAACAUAGAAAAUAUAGA
This is a long non-coding RNA of Daphnia magna, 1198 nucleotides long. RefSeq lists it as uncharacterized. The record is from RefSeq and is a predicted model, not a curated record. The transcript has 2 exons. NCBI's taxonomy places the organism in Eukaryota, Metazoa, Arthropoda, Branchiopoda, Diplostraca, Daphniidae.